AGCGUGGGAAAGCUGACCGAAGAUGGUGAUAGUCCAGUAUAGGUAGAAAGCAAUUGAGUUCUUGAGUAGGGCGGAGCACGAGAAAUUCUGUCUGAAAAUGGGGAGACCACUCUCCAAGGCUAAGUACUACUGAGUGACCGAUAGUGAACAAGUACCGUGAGGGAAAGGUGAAAAGCACCCCUAUAAGGGGAGUGAAAAAGAACCUGAAACCGGAUGCCUACAAGCAGUCGGAGGAGCAUUAGGCUCUGACGGCGUACCUUUUGUAUAAUGGGUCAGCGACUUAAUUUAUGUAGCAAGCUUAAGCCGAUAGGUGUAGGCGCAGCGAAAGCGAGUGUUAAUAGCGCGUUAAGUUACAUGGAUUAGACCCGAAACCGAGUGAUCUAGCCAUGAUCAGGUUGAAGGUUGGGUAACACCAACUGGAGGACCGAACCCACUCCCGUUGAAAAGGUAGGGGAUGAAUUGUGGCUAGGGGUGAAAGGCCAAUCAAACUCGGAAAUAGCUGGUUCUCCGCGAAAACUAUUUAGGUAGUGCGGCAAGCGGACACGUUGAGGGGUAGAGCACUGAAAGAGCUAAGGGGGAGCGAUCCUUACUAAACUUUAUCAAACUCCGAAUACUCAACAGUGAUACUUGCCAGACAGACUGUAGGUGCUAAGGUCUACGGUCGAGAGGGAAAGAGCCCAGACCGCCAAUUAAGGUCCCAAAAUUAUGGCUAAGUGGUAAAGGAAGUGAAUUGUCCAAAACAGUCAGGAGGUUGGCUUAGAAGCAGCCAUCCUUUAAAGAAAGCGUAAUAGCUCACUGAUCUAAACAAGACGAUUUGCGCCGAAGAUGUAACGGGGCUAAAGCCAUAUACCGAAGUUGCGGAAUUGCACGUAAGUGCAAUUGGUAGCGGAGCGUUCUGUAAGCCUGCGAAGGUGUUCCGUAAGGAAUGCUGGAGGUAUCAGAAGUGAGAAUGCUGACAUGAGUAGCGAAAAGAAGUGUGAGAGACACUUCCGCUGAAAGUCCAAGGUUUCCUGCGUAAAGCUAAUCUGCGCAGGGUUAGUCGGCCCCUAAGGCGAGGCAGAGAUGCGUAGUCGAUGGGAAUCAGGUUAAUAUUCCUGAACCAACUAGGAAGUGACGGAUUCAGUAAAUUGUAUGUCCUUAUUGGAUUGGAUGUGCAGUGAAUGAGUCCCGGGAAAUAGCCCUAGUAUAGACCGUACCCGAAACCGACACAGGUGGACAGGUAGAGAAUACCAAAGCGCUUGAGAGAACUAUGUUGAAGGAACUAGGCAAAAUACUUGCGUAACUUCGGGAUAAGCAAGCCCCAUUUCUGGGCAACCAGAGGUGGGGGGCACAUACUAGGGGGUAGCGACUGUUUACUAAAAACACAGGGCUCUGCUAAAUUGAAAGAUGAAGUAUAGGGUCUGACGCCUGCCCGGUGCUGGAAGGUUAAGGAGAGAUGUGCAAGCAUUGAACUGAAGCCCCAGUAAACGGCGGCCGUAACUAUAACGGUCCUAAGGUAGCGAAAUUCCUUGUCGGGUAAGUUCCGACCUGCACGAAUGGCGUAACGACUUCCCCGCUGUCUCCAACAUAGACUCAGCGAAAUUGAAUUCUGAGUUAAGAUGCUCAGUACCCGCGGUUAGACGGAAAGACCCCGUGAACCUUUACUAUAGCUUUGCAGUGGUAUUAGGUGACAAAUGUGUAGGAUAGGUGGGAUGCUAUGAAGUUAUGACGCUAGUUGUAAUGGAGCAGACGUUGAAAUACCACCCUUUUGUUAUUUGAUAUCUAACCUGCUUCCGUUAUCCGGAAGAGGGACCCUGCAUGGUGGGUAGUUUGACUGGGGCGGUCGCCUCCCAAAGAGUAACGGAGGC
RNAcentral lists this ribosomal RNA (1847 nucleotides) under human gut metagenome. RNAcentral's name for it is "bacterial LSU rRNA". It matches the Rfam family "Bacterial large subunit ribosomal RNA", at positions 339 to 2307 of the family's 2925-position model. The record is from RNAcentral.